Non-coding RNA from Taeniopygia guttata (zebra finch), 5121 nucleotides. NCBI's taxonomy places the organism in Eukaryota, Metazoa, Chordata, Aves, Passeriformes, Estrildidae. The record is from RefSeq and is a predicted model, not a curated record.
UUUUUUUUUGCAAUAACAGAUGUUUGAGCAAUUUGAGAAAGCAAAUAGUGCAUGGAGCAUGGGUACCACAUCAGUGAACUGCAGUUCAGUUUAAGAAUGCAGCUGCAGAAACACACUCCUCAAUACAUCAGAUUCAAGUUUUUGGGGAUGAAAUGUGCCAUACAUGAGGUCCAAAACCCAGCUUUCUGGAACCAAGGACCUGCUUGCACCUGAGUGAGAUGCCCUUUCAAGCUGCUCUCCUGCAUAUUUUCCCUAUUAAAUCCCAGUAGAUUAUGGUUUAUAACAACAGUUAUGAGACAUGAGAUUGGGAUGCAGCUGGGACAUAUGCUUAGACACAGAAACUGAGAUUUAUUUCCAUGUAAGCAGCUACCCUGAUAAUUUGCAAGUACAUCUUUCCUCCAAGGACCUGAAAGAACUUCACAAAUAUUGUUGGAGGCCCAGAAUGUUCUUGCACUUAAGUAAACUCCUUCUUAGAGAGGUUAAGUGAUUUAUUUGAGGUUUCUCAGUAAAUCAGAGGUAGAGGUAGGAAGUGAAACAAGAUCAUGACUGCAAAUGACAUCCUUUAACCUUUGGAGGUGCUACUGUGUAUGAAGGCCUGACCCCACCAGCCUCACUCAGAGGAGCAGUGUCUCUGAAGUUAAUGGGAUGACUGGCGUGAGAAAAGGGCUGCAAUAUUUGCCUCUUUAGGCCUUUCUCUGUGAAGUGUUUAAUAUUUCCCCAGAGGUAUGUUUGGCUUCACCUCCUACGGAGUGUCUUAUAGCAACAACAACCACAGCAACAGAAAAGUCAGUCCCAUUUUCUUCAUUUAGUGCUUCACAUCAGGAUCCAAGGCGAGCACUCUCUCUGGGCAGGCGCUAAGCCACGGGGACCUGAAGAGAGUUGGUGUUUCUUGGAAAUGGGUUUUGACUUCUCUGCUUUACUCCUUCACAGGGAAAGAAGAGAUUUUGGGAUACAGUAAGGACCUGCAUGUUUCUCAGCUGGUAAAAAAACAUAGUUCAUAUUUCUUCUCAGCAAAAUUUUGGCGCUACCCCAAAUUCAGCAAUCACAAAGACUAAUAUGUAAGAAAGACUGCACUAAAAAUAUAAUGUAAAAAUAUAUCUUUAAUAGAAUGAGACCAGAAUUCCCAAAUUCUUUCUUUUUCCUCUGCAGAAAAAAAAAAAUGGUUUGUGGCUACAAGCCACUUUUUGCCUAUUUAAAUCUCUGUGCUUCUUAUUCCACUUCUUUAACAGGCUUGAAAUGAAUGAAGAGGUAGCAGACGAGAGAGUGACAUAGGCAGUAAAUUAUAGGAGCGCAGCGUUUGGCACCCAUCCUUGGCAGGUGGCCCGGCCGUGCAAGCGCUGGGGUUGGCCCUUCCCGCGCUGUUGCUAAGCCCAAGGCCCAAUGGCGGCCAGGGCCCUCACGCCCACCCGCGCCCCGGCCGCAUCCCGCUAUUAGAAGCUUCUUUUCUCCCACUUGCUAAUAAUAAUAAUUAAAAUUAAAAAAAAUAAUAAUAAUAAAAAAAAAGAGACAAAAAAGUGUGUAGUUUAUGUAAGCAAGCCCUCCCGGCUCUCGCCAGGAGCUGAGCUGAGGGGAGCUGGGGAGUGCCAGCCCGUGCCCGGCUGGGAUGGAUGGGGCUCAGCGCUGGGCUCCGGUCGGACUCGUUCUGCACGGCCUCCCUCCGCUCCCACAGCCUCAAGGUAUAGGGCAGAAACAAAGGGAUUUUUCUCUCCCCCCCACCCUUCUCCUUUUUUAUUUUUUAAUAACUUUAUCAACUCUGAACCCCAGGAUGAUUUGUGUGUUUCAUACUCUCUCUGUGCUUUUACUCUCGGUUAGAACUUGGAUCCUUUCCAUUUCUCAGUUAAAAACUCUUUUUUUUCUUUUCUAUUUUUUUUUUUUUUCCCCACUCUCUUUCCCCCCAGUUGUUUGUGGUUUUGCUUGAAAGGGCAUUAUUAACUCCUUCACCUCCCAGCUGGAAAGGGCUCUCUUGGCUAAGCUAUUUUAUGUAUUUCUGGAGCAAAAGAAUAAAGUGCUGGAUUUCAAAAACACAGACUCAAAAAAGGGGAGCAGUGAUGGAAAAGAUUUUACGUUGAAACUGCUACUGUAGGAUAACCCCAGCUAGUCAAGCAGAGCUCCCAUUAUGGAUUUACAGGAGCCCUCACCACUUUUGCAAGGCACAGGAUGAGACCAUGCCAAGCUGGUGCUCAAAAGCAUCGAUUUAAGGGGCAGAAGGUGAGAGGUUUGGUAAAAGCAUGGCAGGAGGUGACAGUCCUGGCUGGUCCACUCCAUGCUGCUGCUGGACAGGGCUGGCACCCCUCCCUGGCACAGCAUGUGCACAAAGCCUUGCUUUUGGGUGAAAAACUGGGAAUUCUGGGCUUCCUUGCUGCCUAACUACAAAAAAAGGCAAAAGGUGCACUUUUGCACAGGGACUGUGUUCAGUGCCAUGUCACACCUCCCUGUGGCUGAGCAUGAAGUCCUCAACACACCAGGGACACACAUAAAUCGUGGGAAAAGCUGAGAAAUGCUCGCUGGAAGUUUUAAAACAUAGAGGAUUAAUUUCCCCUGUUGUCCAUACUAGAUGAGGGACUGGGAAGUUGGCAUUUAAACCAUUUUUUCCCCUUCCUCACUCCAGUUGCAGCUGCAGACAGUGGGUAUGGUCUCUCUCCCGUGGGGAGGCUGGGCUGGGUGCUCAUGUCCACACCUGCACUGCUCCAAGAGCUUUCCCAGCUGAAGUCCUGGAGCUUCGAGGGAAUGCUAGAAACAGAGAUGACUUCAAUAUUUGGCAGCUGAUAGGAUAAGUUAUCUUUUCCCUUUUAAAUAGAAUAUGUUAUGCAAGCAGGUUUUAUUAUAAUUACAUUAUUUCUGUAGAUUAGAAAAUAAUCUUCUUGGAACCAAUAUGCAAAUUUAGUAUUUCUUGCUAUUUGUGAAUUAAACAACACAGCAUUUCUUGUAUUCCUACUCAAAGCCCAUGAAAAAUCCCCUCUUAUAGUUGCACACCCUGUGGUAAUUAGCACUUAGUAUUUUUCCUUUUUAGACUUUAAAAAAAAGCAUUUUAAAACAAGUGCAUUUUUUUUCCAGGUUUCUCCCCAGUAUGAUUGCUGUUUCUGAAUGUUUCUAUGCAUGUUAGCAUGUAUGUUUGUUUUGCCUGUUAGUUCAGUUUUGUAGAACAAAUGGAGAAAACGAAAAUAUAGAUUUUUAACCGCAACAAGAUUCCCUGCAGACAGGAUUUUUUCUGUACAGCUAUAGAAAUGCAGCAGCUCAGAGGAAGAGCACAGCAUGUAAUUCUACAUACAUCACAGCCCUUUUUUAUUACUCUUACCACAGCAGCUGAAUGAAGAAUUACAAAAACCAUGUCCCUGAUUCUGUAAAGAUUUAAAAAAGAGGCUUAACUUUAGGCAUACAGGUAACUUCAAAGGGAGUUAAGUGAAACUAGAAGAUGUGAGUAUUUCAUGACAGAUGCAUGCAUUAGAGAAAAUGAUCUGUACAAAACUUCAUCCAGAAGUUCUGGAAUUAUGUUAAUUGACCCUGGAGAGCCAAACAAAAACUCGGUCGAAAUUAUUUUCAGAAUUUAAACCCAACACUUUUGCAAAACACAUCCCAGUGUAAUGGAUAUUGCUAUGAUUGCAUAUCCGCUGGUUUUCUAUAGGCAAAGGGUGAAAUCCCAGCACUGCAGAAGGGAGUGGGAGCACUGCCAUUGAUUUUACUGAUGCCAGAAUUUUGCCCAAAACACUAAUGCUUCCUCUGGCUCUGAGUUUUCUUCUACCAACUCUGACAUUGUUUUCUGCACCUCUGCUGUCACAUUGCAUGGGGUGCAAGAGCCCUUUAAAAUUAACAGUGGGCUUGAGCUGCAGAGGAUGGAUCAUUGAUCAAACCUCUGAAUGCAUCUGACAGAGUUUAAUCAGGUGUUUGAUUCCAGCCCUCUGCACAGACACCCCUCUUCCCACACUCUCAAUUUUGUUGGCACACCUGUUGUGACCCAGGUGGGCAAUUUUGUGCAUUUAGCAAAUCCCGGCCUGGGGGGGCAAACUAAGCAUCAAUUUUAUUUCCCCAUGAGGAGCAAGCUAUGUCAAGUACUGCACAUCACUUUAUGAUCAUGCUAAAGCCACUGCGACAACAAGCCACCUCAGCAAGCUGUCAUUUUAAUGUUUGAUCCGUUUUCUUUUCGUGUGUGUUUGCUCCACAUUUCAGUGAAGCCUCAUCUCCCCUGCCCACCGCCAUCGGCUACGAGGCUGCAGCAAAGCAUGUCACAUACAAUGAACCAGGAAAACUCCACACAAAACCUUCUGAUCACUGGCUUCCAGAGGAAAAUUCCCUCCUGGCCAGAAGGAGAGGAGGACAAGUGAGACAGUGAGGUGGCACCUGCAUGGGGGCAGCAUUCCAGCAGCCAGGAGCGUUAUCCUGGUGGUUUUCUGCGGGACAGGGAUGGGGUCCCCCCUCUGUGCCUCACUGCCACAGCUCUGCGGGAUGCCCCUGCCCGUUUAUCACUUCAAACCAAGCUGAACAGCUCCACUGUAAUACUGCAAAUUACAGGCCUUCUAGAGCAUAAUUUUAAAGGACUUAGACUUGUGUUGUCUUUUAGCUUUCUGUUCAUCUAGCUAGUUAAGGUUCUGAAGUCCUAAUCUAGUUCCCAUUAAGACAAAGAAAAGGAUUCCUUUCUCUGUGAAAUGUUAUACCCCAGGAAGCCAAAAACGUUGGUGUCUGCCUUAGACAUGUAUAUCUUACUGGCAUUAACAGCUCAACCUAUAGAUUUUUCUUCAUCAGUGGGGAAGUUUUAUUCUUAUCCCCAUUUUACAGGAUGAAAUCUCUUAUCCAGCAAAGUAUGUGAGCAUGUGCCAGUUUCAACAGAGCUGGUGGAACCUUUCCAGGAUAGACAGCAUUUGCCAAAAGUGCAAUUUGAAGUGGAAAACUAUUCACAAAUUCUGGUUGAAUGUAAUGCAGAGUUUUGUCAGAAAGAAAAUCAGGGGAAAUACUUUUCUCGGGGAAGUUUAAAUGUUUCAUUUCAGUAUUUUCAAAAUAAACUAUAUAAUUUUCACCUUUCUUAUACCACUUAGUUUUCAAAAUUAACCAUUUUACUUCAUUGCUGUUUUGAAAAUAAUCUGGUCAAUUGAAUGUUAGACUUCUCAGUAAAAGAGUGAAUUGUCGCUG